GUUUACGCCGAACGCCAUGUCGCUUCAGAAGACCACCGGUGUCGAGUACUGGACGCAACGCUGGGCGAACCACAUCAUUCCUUUCCACAGACCUUCUGUUCACCCGUACCUUAAAGAAAUCGAAGCUGAAUUCACCACAACCAAGAAACUUCGUGUCUUCAUUCCUAUGUGCGGGAAAAUGCGUGAAAUUAAAUGGUUCUACGAGAGGGGUCACACAGUCUUUGGUGUAGAAAUCACACGGCAAGCCAUCGACGAUUUUUUCAAAGAAAAUGAGCUCACGGCCACAGAAGUUUAUUGCACAACCACGAAAUCUCCAGUCUUUCAG
This is a long non-coding RNA of Rhipicephalus sanguineus (brown dog tick), 325 nucleotides long. RefSeq lists it as uncharacterized. The record is from RefSeq and is a predicted model, not a curated record. NCBI's taxonomy places the organism in Eukaryota, Metazoa, Arthropoda, Arachnida, Ixodida, Ixodidae. The transcript has 3 exons.